ACGGGAGGCAGCAGUGGGGGAUAUUGCACAAUGGGGGAAACCCUGAUGCAGCGACGCCGCGUGAGUGAAGAAGUAUUUCGGUAUGUAAAGCUCUAUCAGCAGGAAAGAUAAUGACGGUACCUGACUAAGAAGCACCGGCUAAAUACGUGCCAGCAGCCGCGGUAAUACGUAUGGUGCAAGCGUUAUCCGGAUUUACUGGGUGUAAAGGGAGCGCAGACGGCAUGGCAAGCCAGAUGUGAAAUGCGGGGGCUCAACUCCUGAACUGCAUUUGGAACAGUCAAGCUAGAGUAUCGGAGAGGUAAGUGGAAUUCCUAGUGUAGCGGUGAAAUGCGUGGAUAUUAGGAGGAACACCAGUGGCGAAGGCGGCUUACUGGACGAUAACUGACGUUGAGGCUCGAAAGCGUGGGGAGCAAACAGGAUUAGAUACCCUGGUA
RNAcentral lists this ribosomal RNA (434 nucleotides) under uncultured bacterium. Its description in RNAcentral is "partial 16S ribosomal RNA". It matches the Rfam family "Bacterial small subunit ribosomal RNA", at positions 341 to 792 of the family's 1533-position model. The record is from RNAcentral.